AUUGAACGCUGGCGGCAUGCUUUACACAUGCAAGUCGAACGGCAGCGCGGGCUUCGGCCUGGCGGCGAGUGGCGAACGGGUGAGUAAUGCAUCGGAACGUGCCCAGUAGUGGGGGAUAGCCCGGCGAAAGCCGGAUUAAUACCGCAUACGACCUGAGGGUGAAAGCGGGGGACCGAAAGGCCUCGCGCUAUUGGAGCGGCCGAUGUCGGAUUAGCUAGUUGGUGGGGUAAAGGCUUACCAAGGCGACGAUCCGUAGCUGGUCUGAGAGGACGACCAGCCAAAGGGGGACUGAGGCACGGCCCAGACUCCUACGGGGGGCAGCAGUGGGGAAUUGUGGACAAGGGGGGCAACCCUAAUCCAGCAAUGCCGCGGGAGGGAAGAAGCCCUGCGGGUUGUAAACCGCUUUUGUUCGGGAAGAAAUCCUCUGGGCAAAUACCCCGGGGGGAUGACGGUACCGGAAGAAUAAGCACCGGCUAACUACGUG
This 484-nucleotide ribosomal RNA is filed under the name uncultured bacterium. Its description in RNAcentral is "partial 16S ribosomal RNA". It matches the Rfam family "Bacterial small subunit ribosomal RNA", at positions 29 to 507 of the family's 1533-position model. The record is from RNAcentral.